RNAcentral lists this ribosomal RNA (253 nucleotides) under uncultured bacterium. RNAcentral's name for it is "partial 16S ribosomal RNA". It matches the Rfam family "Bacterial small subunit ribosomal RNA", at positions 524 to 776 of the family's 1533-position model. The record is from RNAcentral.
UACGGAUGGCGCAAGCGUUGUUCGGAAUCAUUGGGCGUAAAGCGCGUGUAGGCGGUCUGGUCAGUCGGAUGUGAAAUACCGGAGCUCAACUCCGGAACUGCAUUCGAUACUGCCAGGCUAGAGUCCCGGAGAGGGAGGUGGAAUUCCCGGUGUAGAGGUGAAAUUCGUAGAUAUCGGGAGGAACACCAGCGGCGAAGGCGGCCACCUGGACGGUGACUGACGCUGAGACGCGAAAGCGUGGGGAGCAAACAGG